AAAUUACUUUACACUUUGGAGUUUGUUUGUUUGUUUGUUUGUUUUUUAAGUAAAAGGACCUUUAUGGUCAGCGGAAACUUCUUGAGAAUUAUAGCUGACUCAUUGGGGGCCAGUCAGAGGCAUGUAAGCAAGUUCAAAUGUGUGUGGUUUCACUCAAAGGGUAAAGAUCGCAAUUUGGUUUCAUUAAGUAUUUCCAGGGAACAGAGAUUGUUAUUUUUGGUUUUAGUUUUGGUUUUGAAGUCAUAACCAUUAAAAAAACAGACAACUUUACUUUUAAGGAUUAAAAAAAAACAACAUUAAAUGCCAGAAAAAUUAAGUUAAAAUAAAAAUACAAGCCUAGAUUUAUGACUGAACAGGCAUGGUUCUCCCCCACUAUAGGGGCAUGUGCCCCAUCACCAAAGGGCCAGGCGUUUCCAGAUACUUGUCUGGUUUCUUUGCUUAUCUUGUCUCAAAUCCACAACUUUAGGCUUUCAGGGCAGCUCUUGUCCCUGGGUUGAACUUUCUGAAUCACUGUUGCUCCACAACGUCUCAUUAUCCAGAACGUAUUACCUCCUAGAUUGCUGUGGAUGAACGGCAAUACGGAUUUCUGUGUCCAUAUUCCCCACUUUCUGCUGUUGAAUCUUCAGAGUUGGGUAACGGUCAGUAAUGACGCCGAUGAUGAUGAUGAUGAUGAUGAUGAUGAUGAUGAUGAUAAUGAUGAUGAUGCUAAUUUUUAGAAAUUAAAAUAAGUAGUACCAUUAUUGCUAAUAGCGAUGAAUUGCUGUUAUUAAUGUUAACUUUAAAGACAUCAAAAAAUUUAUCUUGUAUCAACUUUCUCCAGCCUUUCCUUAAUAGUACUGUACUUGAUACUUGGCUCUGUACAUCUCCAUCUCUUAGGAAAUUAUAGUUUCCUAGUCUAAGGAACUGUAAGCCUCUUGUUCGUGAUUACCAAGUCAGGGUGUUAGAUGCACUGAUAGAUCGAGUCAGGACAGAAUCACGCGAGAAGACAGCCUUGAAUGUCCUGUUUACCUCUUCUUCCAUCUUGCUACUAUAUACCCAGUGGUAGCUUUUACUGUUAUAUCUUCAGAAUAAACAUAUAUCAGAGUUUUAAUUUUCCUAUUUGAUAUAGGAAUGGACUUCUUCGAGGGGUGUAAACAGACUGAUCCUCAUUAGACCCAGGGAAGGUGGGUGGUAUCUCUUUGUAGGGAGAAAAUGCAAAUUUAAACAACAUUAACAGCAAGACCUCCACCCUUUCAUAAAAGCAAGAGGAAAGAUAUCAAUAGUAAUUGCCAGAAUUAUCUUCUUGAAAACGUUUGGUUUGUGCCAAAGGCCUGAAGCAACAAGAACUUACUAAAAAGAAAGAAGAGAGCUGGCCAGGACUUCAUAAGAGCAAGCCUUGCGGUGUCUUCAUUUCUAACCUCACCCUCUCCCCUCCUGCUCUGCAUCAGCCUUGAAACCAUCAGUGAGCAGGAUCAGUGUGUGGUAUCUGAGGGAGAAGAAUGGACUAGUAUUGCAAGUGAUUCCCAUUAGAUCCGCCUGGUGGCCCAGUGAAGACCCACUCAAAAGUGUCUCCAGGUUAGGAAGUUGUGCAGCGCUUAGCAGCUCCGUGGGAAGCAUGUCUAAGACAUUUCCAGGCAGAUGCUCUCCUCCAUUCUACCUGAGCCCGUGGGUAACAACUGGGGGAAGGAGGUGCAGGAGGAACUGCGGUCUGGGGGGCUCCCAUGUGCUCUUGAUAGUGUGGAAGGCCAUUCUCAGGGAAGAACUUGUCCUAUGCUCAGGACAGACCAAAGAAGGUGCCCAAACUGUGACAUUUGGUUGGACUUCAGGCCAUACUCAACCAGGAAGCAGAGGUAAAGGCACGGAAGUUGCCCAGCUGGUAGCUACAAGUGAGAUAAACCCAAAAGGACCUGCACUGAGCUGCGUCCUAAUCAAAAUGUUAAGAGCCAAAGACAAAUAGAGAGCCAGAAAGCAAUCCAAGGGGAUGGAUGGAAGACAGUAAGGUCAGCAGCUCACUGUUAACCUUGUAGGCCCCAAGAGAGCCAUGUGCUGUUCACUGUGCACAGCAAACAAUACUUCUGUCAAGACCUUUGGGUCUGCCAAAGUAUCCAUC
Molecule: long non-coding RNA, 2089 nt
Filed under: Mus musculus (house mouse)
Lineage: Eukaryota; Metazoa; Chordata; Mammalia; Rodentia; Muridae
Description: long non-coding RNA chr9:68900148-68902237
Source: RNAcentral